RNAcentral lists this non-coding RNA (123 nucleotides) under Bacteroidota bacterium. RNAcentral describes it as "Bacteroidetes bacterium FMN sequence". It matches the Rfam family "FMN riboswitch aptamer (RFN element)". Rfam says of the family: The RFN element is a highly conserved domain that is found frequently in the 5'-untranslated regions of prokaryotic mRNAs that encode for flavin mononucleotide (FMN) biosynthesis and transport proteins. This element is a metabolite-dependent riboswitch that directly binds FMN in the absence of proteins. In Bacillus subtilis, the riboswitch most likely controls gene expression by causing premature transcription termination within the 5' untranslated region of the ribDEAHT operon and precluding access to the ribosome-binding site of ypaA mRNA. Lineage: Bacteria; Pseudomonadati; Bacteroidota. The record is from RNAcentral.
AAAGCUCUUCAGGGCAGGGUGUAAUCCCCGACCGGCGGUAUAGUCCGCGACUCCCCCAUAAAGGGACUGAACCUGGUGAAACUCCGGUACCGACAGUUAAAGUCUGGAUGAAAGAAGAGCCUG